CACGGUGCCAAUGAAGAUACAGAAAAGGGGAGAGUGAAGAGAAAAGAUACCAUGUGAAAUGAAGCGAGAGAUUUCUAGUUUUAUUUUUUAUUAUUUUUGCAUUUUACUCCUUGCACACACUCC
RNAcentral lists this non-coding RNA (123 nucleotides) under Platyophrya macrostoma. Lineage: Eukaryota; Ciliophora; Colpodea; Cyrtolophosidida; Platyophryidae. The record is from RNAcentral.